RNAcentral lists this ribosomal RNA (490 nucleotides) under uncultured bacterium. RNAcentral describes it as "partial 16S ribosomal RNA". It matches the Rfam family "Bacterial small subunit ribosomal RNA", at positions 30 to 507 of the family's 1533-position model. The record is from RNAcentral.
AUUGAACGCUGGCGGCAGGCCUAACACAUGCAAGUCGAACGGUAACAGGAAGAAGCUUGCUUCUUUGCUGACGAGUGGCGGACGGGUGAGUAAUGUCUGGGAAACUGCCUGAUGGAGGGGGAUAACUACUGGAAACGGUAGCUAAUACCGCAUAACGUCGCAAGACCAAAGAGGGGGACCUUCGGGCCUCUUGCCAUCGGAUGUGCCCAGAUGGGAUUAGCUAGUAGGUGGGGUAACGGCUCACCUAGGCGACGAUCCCUUGCUGGUCUGAGAGGAUGACCAGCCACACUGGAACUGAGACACGGUCCAGACUCCUACGGGAGGCAGCAGUGGGGAAUAUUGCACAAUGGGCGCAAGCCUGAUGCAGCCAUGCCGCGUGUAUGAAGAAGGCCUUCGGGUUGUAAAGUACUUUCAGCGGGGAGGAAGGGAGUAAAGUUAAUACCUUUGCUCAUUGACGUUACCCGCAGAAGAAGCACCGGCUAACUCCGUG